This is a long non-coding RNA of Pipistrellus kuhlii (Kuhl's pipistrelle), 363 nucleotides long. RefSeq lists it as uncharacterized. The record is from RefSeq and is a predicted model, not a curated record. NCBI's taxonomy places the organism in Eukaryota, Metazoa, Chordata, Mammalia, Chiroptera, Vespertilionidae. The transcript has 3 exons.
GGAUGUAGACGUUGCAGAUGCUUUUGUCUGUCGAACCAUUUGCACCUAUCACCCCAACUGCCUCUUCUUUACUUUCUAUACCAAUGAUUGGAAUAUAGAAUCGCAAAGAAAUGUGUGUUUACUAAGACUUCCAAAAGUGGGAUAUCAAGUUCCCCUGCUCCUCAGGAAAACACCGUGUCUGGAUAUAGCCUUCUAACCUGCACACGAACUUUACCUGAGCCCUGCCAUUCAAAACUUUACGCAGGAGUUGAUUUUGGAGGGGAAGAACUGAGCGUGUCCCUCGUUAAAGGAGCGAGUGGUUGCCAGGAGACCUGCACGAAGAUGGUGCGCUGUCAGUUUUUCACUCACUCUUUUCUCCCAGAA